RNAcentral lists this ribosomal RNA (465 nucleotides) under uncultured bacterium. RNAcentral describes it as "bacterial SSU rRNA". It matches the Rfam family "Bacterial small subunit ribosomal RNA", at positions 338 to 795 of the family's 1533-position model. The record is from RNAcentral.
CCUACGGGGUGCACCAGUGGGGAAUAUCGCACAAUGGGCGCAAGCCUGAUGCAGCCAUGCCGCGUGUAUGAAGAUGGCCUUCGGGUUGUAAAGUACCUUCAGCGGGGAGGAAGGCGAUAAGGUUAAUAACCUUGUCGAUUGACGUUACCCGCAGAAGAAGCACCGGCUAACUCCGUGCCAGCAGCCGCGGUAAUACGGAGGGUGCAAGCGUUAAUCGGAAUUACUGGGCGUAAAGCGCACGCAGGCGGUCUGUCAAGUCGGAUGUGAAAUCCCCGGGCUUAACCUGGGAAUGGCAUCUAAGACUGGUCAGCUAGAGUCUUGUAGAGGGGGGUAGAAUUCCAUGUGUAGCGGUGAAAUGCGUAGAGAUGUGGAGGAAUACCGGUGGCGAAGGCGGCCCCCUGGACAAAGACUGACGCUCAGGUGCGGAAGCGUGGGGAGCAAACAGGAUUAGAUACCCGCGUAGUC